GGCCAGACUCCUACGGGAGGCAGCAGUGGGGAAUAUUGCACAAUGGGCGAAAGCCUGAUGCAGCAACGCCGCGUGAAGGAAGAAGGGUUUCGGCUCGUAAACUUCUAUCAACAGGGACGAAAGAAAUGACGGUACCUGAAUAAGAAGCCCCGGCUAACUACGUGCCAGCAGCCGCGGGAAUACGUAGGGGGCAAGCGUUAUCCGGAAUUACUGGGGGUAAAGGGAGCGUAGACGGUGAUGCAAGUCUGGAGUGAAAGGCGGGGGCCCAACCCCCGGACUGCUCUGGAAACUGUAUGACUUGAGUGCAGGAGAGGUAAGCGGAAUUCCUAGUGUAGCGGUGAAAUGCGUAGAUAUUAGGAGGAACACCAGUGGCGAAGGCGGCCUACUGGACGGUGACUGACGCUGAGGCUCGAAAGCGUGGGGAGCAAACAGGAUUAGAUACCCCCGUAAU
RNAcentral lists this ribosomal RNA (451 nucleotides) under uncultured bacterium. RNAcentral's name for it is "bacterial SSU rRNA". It matches the Rfam family "Bacterial small subunit ribosomal RNA", at positions 329 to 794 of the family's 1533-position model. The record is from RNAcentral.